AUUGAACGCUGGCGGAAUGCUUUACACAUGCAAGUCGAACGGUAGAGGGGGCAACCCCUUGAGAGUGGCGAACGGGUGAGUAAUAUAUCGGAACGUGCCCAGUCGUGGGGGAUAACGUAGCGAAAGUUACGCUAAUACCGCAUACGAUCUAAGGAUGAAAGCGGGGGACUCGCAAGAGCCUCGCGCGAUUGGAGCGGCCGAUAUCAGAUUAGGUAGUUGGUGGGGUAAAGGCUCACCAAGCCAACGAUCUGUAGCUGGUCUGAGAGGACGACCAGCCACACUGGAACUGAGACACGGUCCAGACUCCUACGGGAGGCAGCAGUGGGGAAUUUUGGACAAUGGACGCAAGUCUGAUCCAGCCAUUCCGCGUGCAGGAUGAAGGCCCUCGGGUUGUAAACUGCUUUUGUACGGAACGAAAAGGUCUCUCCUAAUACGAGGGGCUCAUGACGGUACCGUAAGAAUAAGCACCGGCUAACUACGUG
This 482-nucleotide ribosomal RNA is filed under the name uncultured bacterium. RNAcentral's name for it is "bacterial SSU rRNA". It matches the Rfam family "Bacterial small subunit ribosomal RNA", at positions 30 to 507 of the family's 1533-position model. The record is from RNAcentral.